UACGGAAUGUGCAAACGUUAUUCGGAAUCACUGGGCUUAAAGAGUCCGUAGGCGGCAUGUUAGGUGAGGUGUGAAAUCCCACGGCUCAACCGUGGAAUUGCGCUUCAAACCGGCGUGCUUGAGGAAGAUAGAGGUGGGCGGAACUGAUGGUGGAGCGGUGAAAUGCGUAGAUAUCGGAAGGAACAUCAGUGGCGAAAGCGACUUCCUGGACCAGUACCGACGUUCAGGCACGAAAGCGUGGGGAGCAAACAGG
This 253-nucleotide ribosomal RNA is filed under the name uncultured bacterium. RNAcentral describes it as "partial 16S ribosomal RNA". It matches the Rfam family "Bacterial small subunit ribosomal RNA", at positions 524 to 776 of the family's 1533-position model. The record is from RNAcentral.